UGCUAUUCAUACUUCAAUUUUCUUCUCCAGUAUUAUCUAUCAGGAGGGAUGUUAGUCUUCAAAACACAUAUACCUGUAGAACUACCGUUCAAGGAAGAUAUUUGAUUGCCGAUGAUAUGGGUCAAGUCUGUGAUGCACUCUCCAUUGAUCCCCAUACUCGCUGCUGCCGUGGGAAAUCAGAGCGAUUCUCUUGCAAUGGUUGUAAUCUCGUUUCACAAUGUUGCGAUUCCUAUGAAUUUUGUGUCUCUUGCUGUUUGAAUCCGUCCAGGACACAAAAGGAUCUGGCGGUAAAUGUGAAGAUAUCUAAGCCCAUAACAGCAGGGAUGUAUUCAAGUAUUUUUGAUUUUUGUACAGGAAGAUGUCGUCAUAAUUCGGAAAGUGUGGUUCAUGAAAACGCUUAUCUCAGUGAAUUUCAUCAUUGUUUUUCUAUACCGUCUAAUUCUUCUUCUGGCGGUGGUUCUGGUGUACAAACUGAAGUGAGGUUGGCUGGUAUAAAUGUUGUGAUAGGAAGACAAGGUGAAUCGUGUGAUUCGGUGUGUAAAUCUAGUGGUCAGUCUUGUGUUCCGAACAAAUUUGUGUUGCUUAAUCAGUGUGAAACGAUGCAUAAGUACUUGAGCUGUAAAGGUGGAUGUUUGGCAAGUGUUGGAGCUGAUCAGCCUGCUGAAGUAAUUGAUGAUGCUCCCAGAGAUUUGAACCCUGGAGCCUGCUUGUACACCUCGCAAGUGUCCGUGCUAUCUUGUGAUGGUUCGCAUCAGCAUACGAAGAGGCUAUGCCCCUGCGCGUAGUGUGGUGAAUUUCCCUCCUCCAUAUUUUUUCAGA
RNAcentral lists this unclassified non-coding RNA (819 nucleotides) under Hevea brasiliensis (rubber tree). Lineage: Eukaryota; Viridiplantae; Streptophyta; Magnoliopsida; Malpighiales; Euphorbiaceae. The record is from RNAcentral.